This is a non-coding RNA of Notechis scutatus (mainland tiger snake), 131 nucleotides long. NCBI's taxonomy places the organism in Eukaryota, Metazoa, Chordata, Lepidosauria, Squamata, Elapidae. The record is from RefSeq and is a predicted model, not a curated record.
AUACAGUUGUGCUCGUAAGUUUACAUACCCUAGCAGAAUUUAUGAUUUCUUGGCCAUUUUUCAGAGAAUAUGAAUGAUAACACAAAAACUUUUAUUUCACUCAUGGUUAGUGGUUGAUACCACUGCUUUCC